Molecule: long non-coding RNA, 1387 nt
Filed under: Zonotrichia albicollis (white-throated sparrow)
Lineage: Eukaryota; Metazoa; Chordata; Aves; Passeriformes; Passerellidae
Description: lncRNA (ENSZALG00000008901.1)
Source: RNAcentral
GCCGGGUCUGCGCUCUGGGACGCCAUGAGGGAAUAGUCCCUCUGUCCCCACGCCACGAGGGGAUCGUCUCGUCAUCCCCACGCCAUGAAGUGAUCAUUCCUCCAUCCUCAAGCCAUGAGAGAAUCAUCUCGUCAGCCCCGGGCCAUGAGAGGAUCGUCCCUCUAUCCCCUUGCUAUAAGGGAAUUAUCCCCAUGCCACGAGGGGAUAUCAUCCAUGAGGGCCUUGUCCCGACAUACCCACAGCCUGGUCCUCCUGCCCUCUGUGUCCCUGGCACCCUCAGACCCUUCAUUAUGACCAGAGCCAUCAAAAGAAUGGGGUAAAUCCCUUAAAAGUCCUCUCAACACUCUACACAGAAAAAAUAUGGGACUCUGAGGGCAAGUCAGAAUGCCCACCUCAGGUGGCGCUUGCCCAUGCCAGCCAUUCCCUCACCAUUCCUCAAACCAGGCCUGUGGGACAGAGCUGCAACUGACAAAGGACUCAGAAUCAGCUCUUGGCACGAAGCAAAGCACAAAUCUGAACUUAGAUGUGUCUGGGACAGAACAACACUUUUCUUUGUUUCGGGUGAGAUUUCAGCGUGCCAGUUGUACCACUACAGGCAGAAAACUGCACAGACCUCUCUGACCCCAGCAGCUCCAAGCAUGGCAAAGACAGAGAAAAUAAGAGGGAACUUGGGCCAUCAGAGAGGAAAGGCAAAACUUCACAUUGCCAAAAGACUUCAAUGCAGAACAAAGUUUUAUGAACCUAAAGACCAAGGUCGAUUGAAAAUCAGGAAUCAUUCAUGGAAAAUUAGCAAAUGUGACACACGCAGAGUGAAAUCUGCAUUAAGAACUGCCUCCAACUGGCAAGGCCCUAACCUGUGGGACAGUUUUAUUGGAUCUCCCAGGAUUACAGCAUAAUUUUCUUUGACAACUCGUUCACGAUCCAAACCGAGCAGAAACCCUUUCUGGGGGCAGCUCUGAGGCUGCCUGCUGUGUCAGGAUCUGUGAAAAAGAUCAAACCAGAACAAGCAGAAGGGAUUUUUCUGCUUUGUAGUGCAUGAGGAGGAACCAGGUGUGAGAUGGUGAGAGCACCAUGGCUCUGCUUCAGGCUCUGUAGCUCUUGUGUCCAGACACACAUGGGACCCCUCUCAACACCAGCUGGAGCUGAUGCCAGGCAGGAGGAGCAGAUGCUAACCCAGGACCAGGCCCGUGUGUUUCCAGACUCCGCCAUGCCUCAGGUACAUCCAAGGCACGGCGUCAAGGCUGAGCUCUUCCCACACCUCCGCCAUCUCUCCAGCACUCCUCGCUUUGUUUGACUGUUUAACCAAAAUCUUGGCCAGAAUAGAUCAUCAGAGCUGGCUCAGGGCCAAUGAAAAGCCUGGGAGAGUUCAUUCACAAUGUGGAAAAAG